AUCUUAAAGGUGUUGAAAGAAAAUCUACAAUAAACCUCAAAAGAGUCCUUAAAAAGUCCUUAAAAAUAUUAGAAUAAUGACAAAUAUAUCUUAAAUAAAUUUCAACUAAGUUCAAAUUCAAUCCUACUUGAAAUUCUAAUAGAUUCAAUCAAAUCCUAGACAAAUCUUAAAUCCUAAACCAAAUCCUAAUCUUAUUCAAUCUAAUACUAGUAUAGUUUAGAAUCUCAAUAUCUAUAAAUUGAACCAUUGAUCUUAUUUAAAAAUUUUCACACCUUUUAAUAAUUAAAUUAGAAAUAAGCACAAAAAAUUUAAAGAUAAUUGUACUUAUUAAAUAGAAAAUAAAUCCUAAAAACCACUUUGAUGUUGGUCGGUCUCCUACACCAAUCUAAAUAUUGACCUUUAAUGCUAGUAUUUCUUUAUUGAACUAUUUAAUUGUCUUCAAAUUUCACAUGUGUAUAGAAAUUCAAGUCUAUUGUUCUUAAAUAUAAAUUUUAUUCCAAUUCAACUUGUAGAUUGCUAAAGAUCUUAGAAACUCUAACUACCUCUAAAAGUCCAAUUUUUGAGAUCUCUAUCUACUUAAAAUUCAAUAGUCUUCAAUUCAACUAUUUAAUAAAACUCAAAAUUAUAGCAUAUACUUCAAAAAAUUAUUUUUAUAAAUCAUCAAAUUUUGAAUUGUAGAUCUACUAUCAAAAUCACGAAAUUCUCUAAAACAUAUAUCUUUUUUAUUUCACAAAUUUGAAAGUCACUUAAAAAUAAUUAUGACUUUACAAAGCUCUUGCAAUAUCAUUAUAUAU
Molecule: long non-coding RNA, 794 nt
Filed under: Physcomitrium patens
Lineage: Eukaryota; Viridiplantae; Streptophyta; Bryopsida; Funariales; Funariaceae
Description: long non-coding RNA (PPAT_LNC009514)
Source: RNAcentral